RNAcentral lists this unclassified non-coding RNA (211 nucleotides) under soil metagenome. RNAcentral describes it as "partial contains 5.8S ribosomal RNA, internal transcribed spacer 2, and large subunit ribosomal RNA". The record is from RNAcentral.
AACAAGGCGUACCUGCGGACCUGCGGAAGGAUCAUUACAAGUGACCCCGGUUUACCACCGGGAUGUUCAUAACCCUUUGUUGUCCGACUCUGUUGCCUCCGGGGCGACCCUGCCUUCGGGCGGGGGCUCCGGGUGGACACUUCAAACUCUUGCGUAACUUUGCAGUCUGAGUAAACUUAAUUAAUAAAUUAAAACUUUCAACAAUGGAUCU